This 161-nucleotide ribosomal RNA is filed under the name Niabella sp. Its description in RNAcentral is "partial 16S ribosomal RNA". It matches the Rfam family "Bacterial small subunit ribosomal RNA", at positions 1364 to 1533 of the family's 1533-position model. The record is from RNAcentral. Lineage: Bacteria; Pseudomonadati; Bacteroidota; Chitinophagia; Chitinophagales; Chitinophagaceae.
GAAUACGUUCCCGGGCCUUGUACACACCGCCCGUCAAGCCAUGGAAGCUGGGGGUACCUAAAGUAUGUAACCGCAAGGAGCGUCCUAGGGUAAAACCGGUAACUGGGGCUAAGUCGUAACAAGGUAGCCGUACCGGAAGGUGCGGCUGGAAUACCUCCUUU